AGUGAACGCUGGCGGUAGGCCUAACACAUGCAAGUCGAACGGCAGCACAGUAAGAGCUUGCUCUUACGGGUGGCGAGUGGCGGACGGGUGAGGAAUACAUCGGAAUCUACUUUUUCGUGGGGGAUAACGUAGGGAAACUUACGCUAAUACCGCAUACGACCUACGGGUGAAAGCAGGGGAUCUUCGGACCUUGCGCGAUUGAAUGAGCCGAUGUCGGAUUAGCUGGUUGGCGGGGUAAAGGCCCACCAAGGCGACGAUCCGUAGCUGGUCUGAGAGGAUGGUCAGCCACACUGGAACUGAGACACGGUCCAGACUCCUACGGGAGGCAGCAGUGGGGAAUAUUGGACAAUGGGCGCAAGCCUGAUCCAGCCAUACCGCGUGGGUGAAGAAGGCCUUCGGGUUGUAAAGCCCUUUUGUUGGGAAAGAAAAGCAGCAGGUUAAUACCCCGCUGUUCUGACGGUACCCAAAGAAUAAGCACCGGCUAACUUCGUG
RNAcentral lists this ribosomal RNA (492 nucleotides) under uncultured bacterium. Its description in RNAcentral is "partial 16S ribosomal RNA". It matches the Rfam family "Bacterial small subunit ribosomal RNA", at positions 29 to 507 of the family's 1533-position model. The record is from RNAcentral.